GCUGCCUAAGUAUAGUUUAUGUACGGUUGCCUUCCAAGUAGCAAGGUUAGAUGGUUCUAAAGGCGGUA
Molecule: transfer RNA, 68 nt
Filed under: Lunella aff. cinerea STW-2013
Lineage: Eukaryota; Metazoa; Mollusca; Gastropoda; Trochida; Turbinidae
Description: tRNA-Gly
Source: RNAcentral